AUGGAAGAUAACAACUUAUGUAUUUUGAAUUGGAAUGUUCGUGGAUUGAACUGCCCACACCGUCGUACAACUGUUCAUGAAACCAUCGCCUCCACUCCUUGCAUCAUUGUAUGUCUUCAAGAAACCAAGCUUGCUGUCAUGGAUCCUUUUAUUGCUGCUUUCCUCGGCGGCCAUCGCCUGAACAGCUUCGCUGAGCGGCCCGCGAAUGGCACCCGUGGGGGAAUUCUUCUAUUAUGGAAUGAAGAUCUUGUCAAGAUUGAUAAUGUGAGCUUUGGGGACUUCUUCCUCUCGGCCAUGGUGACUAUCAUUGGCUCAAACACCUCUUUCCAAAUCACA
Molecule: ribosomal RNA, 336 nt
Filed under: Triticum aestivum (bread wheat)
Lineage: Eukaryota; Viridiplantae; Streptophyta; Magnoliopsida; Poales; Poaceae
Description: partial small subunit ribosomal RNA
Source: RNAcentral